Molecule: non-coding RNA, 97 nt
Organism: Paraphysoderma sedebokerense
Lineage: Eukaryota; Fungi; Blastocladiomycota; Physodermatomycetes; Physodermatales; Physodermataceae
Source: the annotation of a GenBank genome assembly
GCUCUAGUGGCGCAAUGGUUAGCGCGUUUGGCUGUUAACGGGUUGUUACCAGUCUGUUGUUACCAAAAGGUUGGUGGUUCGAGUCCACCCUGGAGCG